GAUAAACGCUGGCGGCGUGCCUAAUACAUGCAAGUCGAGCGAACGGACGAGAAGCUUGCUUCUCUGAUGUUAGCGGCGGACGGGUGAGUAACACGUGGAUAACCUACCUAUAAGACUGGGAUAACUUCGGGAAACCGGAGCUAAUACCGGAUAAUAUUUUGAACCGCAUGGUUCAAAAGUGAAAGACGGUCUUGCUGUCACUUAUAGAUGGAUCCGCGCUGCAUUAGCUAGUUGGUAAGGUAACGGCUUACCAAGGCAACGAUGCAUAGCCGACCUGAGAGGGUGAUCGGCCACACUGGAACUGAGACACGGUCCAGACUCCUACGGGAGGCAGCAGUAGGGAAUCUUCCGCAAUGGGCGAAAGCCUGACGGAGCAACGCCGCGUGAGUGAUGAAGGUCUUCGGAUCGUAAAACUCUGUUAUUAGGGAAGAACAUAUGUGUAAGUAACUGUGCACAUCUUGACGGUACCUAAUCAGAAAGCCACGGCUAACUACGUGCCAGCAGCCGCGGUAAUACGUAGGUGGCAAGCGUUAUCCGGAAUUAUUGGGCGUAAAGCGCGCGUAGGCGGUUUUUUAAGUCUGAUGUGAAAGCCCACGGCUCAACCGUGGAGGGUCAUUGGAAACUGGAAAACUUGAGUGCAGAAGAGGAAAGUGGAAUUCCAUGUGUAGCGGUGAAAUGCGCAGAGAUAUGGAGGAACACCAGUGGCGAAGGCGACUUUCUGGUCUGUAACUGACGCUGAUGUGCGAAAGCGUGGGGAUCAAACAGGAUUAGAUACCCUGGUAGUCCACGCCGUAAACGAUGAGUGCUAAGUGUUAGGGGGUUUCCGCCCCUUAGUGCUGCAGCUAACGCAUUAAGCACUCCGCCUGGGGAGUACGACCGCAAGGUUGAAACUCAAAGGAAUUGACGGGGACCCGCACAAGCGGUGGAGCAUGUGGUUUAAUUCGAAGCAACGCGAAGAACCUUACCAAAUCUUGACAUCCUUUGACAACUCUAGAGAUAGAGCCUUCCCCUUCGGGGGACAAAGUGACAGGUGGUGCAUGGUUGUCGUCAGCUCGUGUCGUGAGAUGUUGGGUUAAGUCCCGCAACGAGCGCAACCCUUAAGCUUAGUUGCCAUCAUUAAGUUGGGCACUCUAAGUUGACUGCCGGUGACAAACCGGAGGAAGGUGGGGAUGACGUCAAAUCACCAUGCCCCUUAUGAUUUGGGCUACACACGUGCUACAAUGGACAAUACAAAGGGCAGCGAAACCGCGAGGUCAGGCAAAUCCCAUAAAGUUGUUCUCAGUUCGGAUUGUAGUCUGCAACUCGACUACAUGAAGCUGGAAUCGCUAGUAAUCGUAGAUCAGCAUGCUACGGUGAAUACGUUCCCGGGUCU
RNAcentral lists this ribosomal RNA (1372 nucleotides) under uncultured bacterium. Its description in RNAcentral is "bacterial SSU rRNA". It matches the Rfam family "Bacterial small subunit ribosomal RNA", at positions 28 to 1381 of the family's 1533-position model. The record is from RNAcentral.